RNAcentral lists this ribosomal RNA (484 nucleotides) under uncultured bacterium. RNAcentral's name for it is "partial 16S ribosomal RNA". It matches the Rfam family "Bacterial small subunit ribosomal RNA", at positions 29 to 507 of the family's 1533-position model. The record is from RNAcentral.
AUUGAACGCUGGCGGAAUGCUUUACACAUGCAAGUCGAGCGGCAGCACGGGGGCAACCCUGGUGGCGAGCGGCGAACGGGUGAGUAAUACAUCGGAACAUGCCCCGCCGUGGGGGAUAACACCUCGAAAGAAGUGCUAAUACCGCAUACGUCCAGAGGGAGCAAGCGGGGGAUCGCAAGACCUCGCGCGAUUGGAGUGGCCGAUGUCAGAUUAGCUAGUUGGUGGGGUAAAGGCCUACCAAGGCAACGAUCUGUAGCUGGACUGAGUGGAUGAUCAGCCACACGGGAACUGAGACACGGCCCAGACUCCUGCGGGAGGCAGCAGUGGGGUAUUGGGGGCAACGGGGGCAAAUCUGGUCCAGCCAGCCCGCGUGAGUGACAAAGGCGUUGGGUGUGUGAAGCUCGUCCUGCAGGAACGAAACGGUGAGGUCUAAGACAGCGCGCUAGUGACGGUACCUGAAGAAGAAGCACCGGCUAACUACGUG